GAUGAACGCUGGCGGCGUGCCUAAUACAUGCAAGUCGAGCGAACGGACGAGAAGCUUGCUUCUCUGAUGUUAGCGGCGGACGUGUGAGUAACACGUGGAUAACCUACCUAUAAGACUGGGAGAACUUCGGGAAACCGGAGCUAAUACCGGAUAAUAUUUUGAACCGCAUGGUUCAAAAGUGAAAGACGGUCUUGCUGUCACUUAUAGAUGGAUCCGCGCUGCAUUAGCUAGUUGGUAAGGUAACGGCUUACCAAGGCAACGAUGCAUAGCCGACCUGAGAGGGUGAUCAGCCACACUGUGACUGAGACACGGUCCAGACUCCUACGGGAGGCAGCAGUAGGGAAUCUUCCACAAUGGGCGAAAGCCUGACGGAGCAACGCCGCGUGAGUGAUGAAGGUCUUCGGGUCGUAAACCUCUGUUAUUAGGGAAGAACAUGUGUGUACGUAACUGUGCACAUCAUGACGGUACCUAAUCAGAAAGCCACGGCUAACUACGUG
This 497-nucleotide ribosomal RNA is filed under the name uncultured bacterium. RNAcentral describes it as "partial 16S ribosomal RNA". It matches the Rfam family "Bacterial small subunit ribosomal RNA", at positions 28 to 507 of the family's 1533-position model. The record is from RNAcentral.